UACGUAGGGUGCAAGCGUUGUCCGGAAUUAUUGGGCGUAAAGAGCUCGUAGGCGGUCUGUCACGUCGGCUGUGAAAUCCCGAGGCUCAACCUCGGGUCUGCAGUCGAUACGGGCAAACUAGAGUAUUGCAGGGGAGACUGGAAUUCCUGGUGUAGCGGUGAAAUGCGCAGAUAUCAGGAGGAACACCGGUGGCGAAGGCGGGUCUCUGGACCGAUACUGACGCUGAGGCGCGAAAGCGUGGGGAGCAAACAGG
This 253-nucleotide ribosomal RNA is filed under the name uncultured bacterium. RNAcentral describes it as "partial 16S ribosomal RNA". It matches the Rfam family "Bacterial small subunit ribosomal RNA", at positions 524 to 776 of the family's 1533-position model. The record is from RNAcentral.